GGCCUCGUAGCUCAGUUGGCUAGAGCGUUGGUUGUAGUACCGCCUUCCUCUUGCCGGUGUGGUUUCGAAUCCCGCCGAGGCCG
This 83-nucleotide transfer RNA is filed under the name Schistocephalus solidus. It matches the Rfam family "tRNA". Rfam says of the family: Transfer RNA (tRNA) molecules are approximately 80 nucleotides in length. Their secondary structure includes four short double-helical elements and three loops (D, anti-codon, and T loops). Lineage: Eukaryota; Metazoa; Platyhelminthes; Cestoda; Diphyllobothriidea; Diphyllobothriidae. The record is from Rfam by way of RNAcentral.